This 378-nucleotide ribosomal RNA is filed under the name uncultured bacterium. RNAcentral's name for it is "bacterial SSU rRNA". It matches the Rfam family "Bacterial small subunit ribosomal RNA", at positions 524 to 898 of the family's 1533-position model. The record is from RNAcentral.
UACAGAGGUCUCGAGCGUUAGUCGGAAUCACUGGGCUUAAAGCGUGCGUAGGCGGAUGUGCAGGCGUCGUGUGAAAGCCCUCGGCUCAACCGGGGAAUUGCACGGCGAACCGCACGUCUCGAGACAAGUAGGGGCGGUCGGAACGAUAGGUGGAGUGGUGAAAUGCGUUGAUAUCUAUCGGAACGCCAAAGGUGAAGACAGGCCGCUGGGCUUGUUCUGACGCUGAUGCACGAAAGCGUGGGGAGCAAACGGGAUUAGAUACCCCGGUAGUCCACGCCCUAAACAAUGUGCACUAGAUCGAAGGAGGUACUGACGCCUUUUUCGGUCGAAGUAAAAACGUUGAGUGCACCGCCUGGGGAGUACGGUCGCAAGGCUAAA